This 54-nucleotide ribosomal RNA is filed under the name Streptococcus agalactiae GB00651. RNAcentral's name for it is "partial 16S ribosomal RNA". The record is from RNAcentral. Lineage: Bacteria; Bacillati; Bacillota; Bacilli; Lactobacillales; Streptococcaceae.
CCUUUUAAUGAGAGUUUGAUCCUGGCUCAGGACGAACGCUGGCGACGUGCCUAA